UACAGAGGGUGCUAGCGUUGUUCGGAAUUAUUGGGCGUAAAGGGCGCGUAGGCGGUUUCGCAUGUCCGAUGUGAAAGCCCACCUCUUAAAGGUGGAAUUGCAUCGGAAACUGCGAGACUAGAGUGCCGGAGAGGGUGGUGGAAUUCCUGGUGUAGAGGUGAAAUUCGUAGAUAUCAGGAGGAACACCGGUGGCGAAGGCGGCCACCUGGACGGUUACUGACGCUGAGGCGCGAAAGCCAGGGGAGCGAACGGG
Molecule: ribosomal RNA, 253 nt
Filed under: uncultured bacterium
Lineage: Bacteria
Description: partial 16S ribosomal RNA
Rfam family: Bacterial small subunit ribosomal RNA
Source: RNAcentral